AAUGUGGAGCCUGAUUAAAGGAUUAUCGUGAUAGGAUAAAAUAUGUAAUGAAACAUUACCCACAUUA
Molecule: transfer RNA, 67 nt
Filed under: Rugitermes sp.
Lineage: Eukaryota; Metazoa; Arthropoda; Insecta; Blattodea; Kalotermitidae
Also listed under: 1 other name
Description: tRNA-Ile
Source: RNAcentral